This 94-nucleotide transfer RNA is filed under the name Gemmata sp. SH-PL17. RNAcentral's name for it is "tRNA-Gly". The record is from RNAcentral. Lineage: Bacteria; Pseudomonadati; Planctomycetota; Planctomycetia; Gemmatales; Gemmataceae.
GCACGCGGUGGGCCGGCUCGACCGGUUCCUCGCGGCCACCGACCUCGGCGAAUCGCUCCGCGAGUGGUUCGGUACGAUUCCGGAGGCGUGGACC